CGGGGGCUCGCGCUGGGGGCUCCGCGGCGGUACUGGGACGCAGCGUGUGCAGGGCUCGCCCGGGCGUACGCCCCAGGCCGCCCUUCCCUGCGUCGUCCCAUGGCGCGGGGCCGUCGGCCUGCCUGAGGCUGGACCGAGCUCUGCUGCGCCGGCCCCAGGAGACGAGGCGUCUCAGCGCUGCGCUCGUCUUCCCAGCCCAGUGGAACGUCGCCAGCGCCAGGAGCAGGCGGUAAUCACACCACAGGGCAGCACUGCCUCACUUCAUGCAAAUCUGUACCACCAGCUACAGAUCGCUCAGUCGACCACACAGACGAAGGCUCUGGGCAGUGACGGCGCAGAGAACAGCACACUGCCGGCGCGCCCGCGGGAAGCCUCUGGAGCGCGGGGACAGGUUCCCAGGAAGGAGCGUGAGCAGAGGGCUGUGGCCGUGCUGCCAGGACAGUGGUCUAGGGACCCGGGCUGAAAACGACGAGAGGUUGGGCUCUUCAGUUGAGACCGAAAUAAAUGAUGAGUAAGUUAAGGUCAGACAAGGUGAGGAAGGGAAUGCAGAGGAGAAAGAUGCCAGAAAGUGAGAGUUUGGCUUCAUCAUGAAGCUGGAAGGAGGUACAGUCAGGUUAGCAAGGUCUUAGAUCAUACAGGCAAGAACAAACAGUAAGAGGACGCAAGGCAAGAUGGUGAAGACUUGCACUUACGCUUAGAAUUUAGACUUUAGACUCCAUGAGACAGGGGAUCAGGGGAAUAAAGAUAGUGAGUUAUGGGGUUGACUAGAGUAGUUGACCUAGUCAUCAAAGAAAAAUAAGCACUUGAAAGAUCAUGAAUAGAACAUACUACCCUCGAGGGUGCUUUCUCCAAUUGCCAUACCCAGAAGUAAAUUAAGCAGCAAAUGAAUACUACAACCCUAUACAAGCAGGGUGACCAAGGCUCACAACCCAGGUUGCCCCAUUGGCCAAUCACCAAACCAAGAGGCCAGCUGAAGCUGUAGGGAGCGUGGAAACUUCCAUCCCAGUGAUAGUAAAGAAGACUGUUGCCUUUUACUAUUAUUUUCCUGGAUGCCAAGAGAGUAUUUAAUAGACACUCCCUUGCAUAUCAAGCCCCCUUGUCCUUUUUAAACAGAAAUAGCAUAAUACUUUUUCCUUCAUUUCCUUUUCCUUUUACCAGCAAAAGGAAAUGUUUUGAUACAUGGAGAUAAGCUUUUGGUAGAAGGAAAGGAAAAAUGGACAUCAUGUAGGAAGUCUGUAGAGGGCAUGACAUCACCUCUGGUUGGCGAGGACACGGCUUUGGGUUCUCCCCCACUGGAAAUAUUACCAAUCCUUUUGUGGUAGUACAGGAAAUAACCGAAUCAUGUGUCUUUGUAAGAAUGGGAAAAAGAGAGUGUGUAUGUGUGUUGUGAUGUAUGUGGUAUGUGUAUAGGGUGGGGGUGUUGGGAUAUAUAUGUGUAUGUAUGCUGUGCCACCAAGAAGUAGAACAUUAUAGGCACUCCAUGAAAUGUUUUCCUAUAGCUCACCAUGAUUCCUCUUUUUGCAGGAAUGGCCCUAAUACACAGGGAAAUCCCUUGAAUGGCCAUAUAGGCAUGUACUAGUUGCCAUGCUCUAAGAUGACCAACAUCCUGAUUUGCCCAAGGUUGAGGGGUAUCUUAGGAUGCUGUAUUUUUUGUGCUUUAACUGGGAUAGUCCUGGGAAAACUGGGAAUAGUUGGUCACACUAUCAUGUCCUCUAUGUAACAGAUUAGUCUUAGAGGGACACAUGCUAAACCAGGCCAUUUGAACUCUUCACCCCAGGAAUUUUACAUAUUGACAUAGGGAAACACAGAGAGGAGAUGGCCAUUAGAGCUGAGUCACAUAAAUGGCAGUGCCCCAAAGAAAAGAUGUAUUAAACCCUUUGCCAAGGACCCAGGACCUGCCCUGCUUCCUUUGCUUACAGAAGAUGUCCCUGUGUGCUUCCAAAACUGUUUUGCUUGACUAAGCAAAGAAGGCUUCUGCUGCUUGCAACCAAAGUAAUCUUAAGGAGUGUACCCUAUCUCUUUCUUCCAUAAUCUUCUUCCAGAUUUGCUUCCAAUCUGCUGAAUGAUCAGUGAGCCACAUGACCCACACUCAUUGCCCUAGCAGACGGGUAGGUGUAGAUGCAACCCAAAUAGGCUAAGAGAGUCUCUCAUGCACGGAUUUUGGAGUUUACAACUCAUCUCUCUUUCAUGUUGAGAUAGCAACAUCGUGUGGACCUAGGAUUGGGUUAGGCGUGACCAAGACGUUCAAAGGGUGAAGGAACUGGAGGGCAGAGGCGGAAGAUGAGGAGAGAAAGAAGGGAAAAGAGGAGACAGUAUCUGACAGGUCCCAAAGAGAUCUCAAUCUACAGAGAUAGAUAACAUUCUUGCAAUCCCUGAGAAAGCGUCAGUUUCUCUGAGAAGCUGGACUCUCCCCGGGGUCCUCCCAGGAUUCCAGGCACUCACAUGUCCUGCAAAACAUGAAGAGUGAUCUGCAGUGGGCUCCUUAUAGUUCACCCCUAGCAGCUCAUAUGAAUUUACUAAGAUCAAUUGAAUUUAACAUGUGAAAUAAAGGUAUUACACAAAAGUGCCCAAAUAAAAAGUAUAAUAUUACCCCAAA
Manis pentadactyla (Chinese pangolin) is the source of this 2596-nucleotide long non-coding RNA. RefSeq lists it as uncharacterized. Lineage: Eukaryota; Metazoa; Chordata; Mammalia; Pholidota; Manidae. The transcript is spliced from 2 exons. The record is from RefSeq and is a predicted model, not a curated record.